AAGUCGCAACAAGGCAGGUGUACGAGAACGUGCGCCUGGAUCACCUCCUUUCUAAGGAGCCGAUCGAAGAAACCGCUUACCGCAAGUCGGUCAGUUGGCUUUCUUCUAACGAAAUGUUUUUGAUAAUAGUGUACAAACCCAGAUCAACUAUCUGCUUAGCAAUAAGCGAGUGGUUGCUUCUGGCAGCAAUGAACGACAAUUAACGGUUCGAAUCCCGCUUGAAAUUCUAGAGGCUUAUCCUCAAGACCUUGUUUUUAUGCUCGACCGGACAUCCGCGUAAGCGGUGUCUCGGGACUCACUCCAACGAUUUCUUCGUCCACCCUCAAAUCCGUAGCAAUACGGAACAGGGUUUAGCAGCAUCAGCUCAAAACGACGGAAUCUUUCCCUUCAACCGGAAAUAUUCCCGAGUUUUUAGCUCCCCUACCUUGACAAUAGAAUAAGGAACGCAAAUAGGACAUCGAAAAUUAUAUGUCCGUCCGAAAGAAAUAUUUCAUAGAAUACGGAUACUCCUUUCUGACAGCAAUGUCAGCAGUGAGUGUCCAGAGACAAAGAAAUGAAGGAGUACGAGCUUGAAUUUAUUCUUGACCGUAUUCCGAGGUUAGUAGAUCUAACAAAAAUCAAAUCAUUCAUCG
This 632-nucleotide unclassified non-coding RNA is filed under the name uncultured bacterium. RNAcentral describes it as "16S-23S ribosomal RNA intergenic spacer". The record is from RNAcentral.